RNAcentral lists this ribosomal RNA (253 nucleotides) under uncultured bacterium. Its description in RNAcentral is "partial 16S ribosomal RNA". It matches the Rfam family "Bacterial small subunit ribosomal RNA", at positions 524 to 776 of the family's 1533-position model. The record is from RNAcentral.
UACAGAGGUCCCGAGCGUUGUUCGGAUUCACUGGGCGUAAAGGGUGCGUAGGUGGCAGGGUAAGUCGGAUGUGAAAGCUCGGAGCUCAACUCCGAAAUGGCAUUGGAAACUACCCAGCUCGAGGGUUGGAGGAGGGACUGGAAUGCUUGGUGUAGCAGUGAAAUGCGUAGAUAUCAAGCGGAACACCAGUGGCGAAGGCGAGUCCCUGGACAACUCCUGACACUGAGGCACGAAAGCUAGGGGAGCAAACAGG